UACAGAGGGUGCAAGCGUUAAUCGGAAUUACUGGGCGUAAAGCGUGCGUAGACGGUUAUUUAAGUCGGGUGUGAAAGCCCCGGGCUCAACCUGGGAAUUGCAUUCGAGACUGCAUAGCUAGGGUGCGGAAGAGGGAAGCGGAAUUUCCGGUGUAGCGGUGAAAUGCGUAGAUAUCGGAAGGAACACCAGUGGCGAAAGCGGCUUCCUGGUCCAGCACCGACGUUCAGGCACGAAAGCGUGGGGAGCAAACAGG
Molecule: ribosomal RNA, 253 nt
Filed under: uncultured bacterium
Lineage: Bacteria
Description: partial 16S ribosomal RNA
Rfam family: Bacterial small subunit ribosomal RNA
Source: RNAcentral